UAUGGAAGAAUCCCUUGAGCCCAGGAGUUGGAGGCUGCGGUGAGCUACGAUUGCACCAGUGCACUCCAGCUUGGGUGACAGAGCGAGACCCUGUCUCCAAAAAAAAAAAAAAAAAAAAAAAGAUGAGGAAAUCGCCCGAGGAUGGAUCCGACUUGUGGUUUCAAUGGAGCCCUCAUUCUUCUCUUCACUUACCCUCUCCGUGAGGAGGAAGCCAGUGCACAUCAAGCGUUUCCUGUGUAGCACAGACUCUUCUCCCAAACAUCUUUGCAUUCUGCACUGGUGAGGGCCAGUGGUGCCACACCAAUGUCCCAAUUCACCUUGGGAACGUCCUUGAGCGCAUUUCUUUUUGUCUGUAGAAGUAAAAGAGUAGAACUGAAUGCCGAAGCCAGCAAGCUGUUGGAACCUUGGAAACGCAGAGGGCAUGAAGGCUGAGUCCGGGGUCCUACAGUCAGAGGCUCGCAUUCAAAUCUUGCCUCUGCCUGUAAUUGCCGUGGGACCCUAGCAGGUGACUUAGCCAUGCCCUGCCUGGGUUUACCUACCUGUAAAGAGCCCUUGUAAGGAUGAAAGUAGGUGGCACAGACCAAGCAUCUGUACCUGGCAGACCAGUCCUUAAUAAACAGGAAUUAUUGUUA
Homo sapiens (human) is the source of this 632-nucleotide long non-coding RNA. Lineage: Eukaryota; Metazoa; Chordata; Mammalia; Primates; Hominidae. The record is from Ensembl.